CUAGCAGAUAAAAAGUCCGUAACGGUGGCAACCAAAAUAAAGCCUAGAUUGAUGAAGCUGAGGAGAGACAACAAAACAGUCAUUUCAACAAGUUGACUUAGCGCUCAGUCACUUUCCAUCCAAUAGACCCAUCAUGCUGUCAAAAGUCUAAAACCCAAGUUUGAAGCACACAUAUUGUGGAAUACAAAUGUGUGGAUACAAGGCAUUUCCCCACCACACCAACCACACCACGCCAAAUGCCUUACUAAAUUCAUCACCAUUCACCCAUAUCAUAAAGCAUCAGGAAAUUUACCUCAACCCAAGGAGUAACACUGUUGGUUGCUGUGAUUUCCAUUUUUACGGUUUUUUAUCAUGAAAAUUUCAGUGUGCUUGUUAGUAUAGAGCACGUAAUAGAUCCUUAAGCCAAUGCUGACCUUUGUCCAUGAAGGAAGAGGGACAUCCAGCAACGUUCUACUCCAUCCUUAUAUCUUCCCGACGUACGCUCAUCUAGCUUCUCUGCUUUUGCUGCUAAAACUUGUCUUACUUCACCGACGAGUUGGAACACUUCAGUGGUAGCUACCCUUUGCUGUUACACACUUGCAGUUAGUCACCACAGGAUUAUGCCCAGAUAACGCAGAGGAGACGUCGAGAAGAUGGAUUUUCUCAUCUUUAAAAAUCGUCACAAGUCCGUCGGAUUGCCUCUUCUUCUGGUGCGAACGAAACUCGGUGGAGUGAAUGGAUAAUGCGCCAACAAAAUACUUCUGGCAAUGGAAAGGGGCCAUCACUGGAAAACGGAAAGUGACAAUCGCCACCGUCACCGAGACUCGUCAUCAACGUGGAUCAUCAGUAUUGUUGGAAUUAUUGUGUUUGUGUUAGUGUUAGUUAACCCGUUGUCUGCCACGCCUUUGUUCUCCCAGCACGGGCUGCGUGCGCUGUUC
Molecule: long non-coding RNA, 917 nt
Filed under: Daphnia pulicaria
Lineage: Eukaryota; Metazoa; Arthropoda; Branchiopoda; Diplostraca; Daphniidae
Description: uncharacterized LOC124349172, transcript variant X3
Source: RNAcentral